UACGUAGGGUCCGAGCGUUGUCCGGAAUUACUGGGCGUAAAGAGCUCGUAGGUGGUUUGUCGCGUUGUUCGUGAAAACUCACAGCUUAACUGUGGGCGUGCGGGCGAUACGGGCAGACUGGAGUACUGCAGGGGAGACUGGAAUUCCUGGUGUAGCGGUGGAAUGCGCAGAUAUCAGGAGGAACACCGGUGGCGAAGGCGGGUCGCUGGGCAGUAACUGACGCUGAGGAGCGAAAGCGUGGGGAGCGAACAGG
This 253-nucleotide ribosomal RNA is filed under the name uncultured bacterium. RNAcentral's name for it is "partial 16S ribosomal RNA". It matches the Rfam family "Bacterial small subunit ribosomal RNA", at positions 524 to 776 of the family's 1533-position model. The record is from RNAcentral.